Macrobrachium nipponense is the source of this 1857-nucleotide long non-coding RNA. RefSeq lists it as uncharacterized. The transcript has 2 exons. Lineage: Eukaryota; Metazoa; Arthropoda; Malacostraca; Decapoda; Palaemonidae. The record is from RefSeq and is a predicted model, not a curated record.
UAACAGGCCCAUAAAACUCUAUUUUAACGUUUCACAGAAGGAAGUGCUCGAAAUAUAUGGUUGCAACGUUAAAUUAAAAUAGUGUUUUAUGGACCUUUAGAAUACAAUUGAAUGUAUGUAUAUGUGUCCAUAAAUAAAGAUUUGAUGGCUCGUUUUCACUUUAUGCUUCAUAGAUCAAAGUAGCCUGAAAGGAAUACAGUCCGCAAGCACGUAUAUCGUUUAAAGUUUUUAGCCUUGCCUUAAAAUCGUACAGCUGAAACCUCCUGUAAUAAGGGAACUUGGUGGGAUAUUUCCUUAUAUGGCACAUUUAUAGCUUUAUUGGGUAGUGGUCUACCCAAUGUCGACGUGGUGUCUGAGGACAGUAGAACUUUGCAUUCUUAUCGGGAGCGUCCUUAAUGACCAUAGUGCUACGCAACGAGAAUCAGUUUAUGCUAUUUGCUUGGUCAAAAGCCAGUGUUUGUUUGAGGCAGAAAAUUUUACUUCCUUGUAAAUGUUAAUUGCCUUCUUGGUAGUGUUUAUUGAUGAAAUGCCUGCCUGUACGUCUACAUUAAUGGCCCUGCCCUGAAGCCUUAGUUUUAGAAUUACAAUGAUGCUUGACCCUAUAUAUACAUAUUUGUUGACAUUCAGUCAUUUUUCCUUUCGCCAUUCCCUCUUGUUUUUUAGACAUGGAUAUUUUCGUUGGAAAUAUGUCUAGGUAAUUAUAGUGGCCUUUCAGUUAGACUUGAGUAUAUAAAGAAUUAUGUGCCUGUAUCUGUUUACCGCUGAUGUGAUGGCCAUUUAUCUUAAGAUUCAUCCUUUUACGGAGAGAAUCGCGUAGAAACAAUGGUUUAUGUAUAUUUCUACUUCAUUACAUUGCACUGUGCAUAUUGCAUAUGGAGAAAAAAGUUGGAUCGAACUAAUUACUAUAGAUGGUUCACUUAACGGAUGUGUGGUUAAACUUCAGCGAACUCAAGAAUUUAGCAGUCCUCUGUACGCUGUACAUGGCAACACAACUUAAUUCAUAAUUAUCCAUGGUAAAUUACAUUUUCUAACGUAUUCUGAAAGCUGAGCGUCAUCCAUAGGCUGUAUCUGUAUAGGCGAUGAGCUUGAUGUCAUUUGCUCUUCUUGACAUUUUGUUUUCCUCCAAUUUUUCUUCGAUCGUUAGUUACUCCAGUGUGGAUGUAAAGCCUGGGUCACACAUUGGCCAUUUCAGACCGCGCAUGUCGCAGAUUCUUUGGCAUUUUGUUGUAUUAAAGGCAAACCCCGGAUCUGUGGCAAUUGGACGAACAGGAGGCUUAUGUGGAGCUCAUUUGACAUGGACUAAUAAUUAUAGGGUAAUGUGGGGGAUUAGCGUACACGGGGGUGGACCGUACAAGCUCCGUCAAAAUCAGAGAAUUUAUAGAAGAGCUCUGUUGGCAAUACUGAGAUGUGAAGUGUCGUCAGUGAACCAAGAUGCUGCUUCCAUUUCUUCUAGCUCGCCGGGUAUGGAUUGGAGACUUAAACAUGCCGAGGACGUUUAUGCCUAAGGGGGAGAGGCAAACAGACAGAACUGCUUUGAAGGAGGCUUUUCAGUACUGUAUGGUAACAGGAUGCAGUAUCAGGGAAGCUUGCAAGAAGUUUGGAGUGAAAGUGAUGACCUUACAGGAGGCAGUCAGUAGAUCCAGAAAGUUAUCUGAUGGUAAGACCUUUGUCCCCCUCCAUGGCAGUCCCCACAAGGUCUUCACAGGGGAGGAGACACAGCUUUGUGAUUACGCUAUCAAGAUUGCAAAGAUGUUCCAUUGUAUUCAUUUAACAUGAAUUGAGGUAGGCCUAGGAGUGAUAAAUGUACAAAACUGACUUUAUUUUUCCACAGUUUUCUUAAAUAAACAAUAUUGGAUG